Molecule: ribosomal RNA, 253 nt
Filed under: uncultured bacterium
Lineage: Bacteria
Description: partial 16S ribosomal RNA
Rfam family: Bacterial small subunit ribosomal RNA
Source: RNAcentral
UACAGAGGGGGCAAGCGUUAUUCGGAAUUAUUGGGCGUAAAGCGCGCGCAGGCGGUUUCUUAAGUCUGAUGUGAAAGCCCCCGGCUCAACCGGGGAGGGUCAUUGGAAACUGGGAAACUUGAGUGCAGAAGAGGAAAGUGGAAUUCCAAGUGUAGCGGUGAAAUGCGUAGAGAUUUGGAGGAACACCAGUGGCGAAGGCGACUUUCUGGUCUGUAACUGACGCUGAGGCGCGAAAGCGUGGGGAGCAAACAGG